GUAAUGAGACUUGUUCAGUGUGUGUGUGCGUGCGUGCGUGUUUGUGUGUGCGUACGUAUGUGUGUGUGCUUACGUGCGUAGGUAACAGUGUUAUUCUGUGUGUUUAGGCGUAAGCCAAAGAAAGACGGGAUACCGACAUUGUCUGAUUGUCGCCCGCAGGUUGGAAGAAAAAUAAAUGAAGCUGAGAACAGUGGAAAAGUCUCAUUGUGCCGACCCAGAACAGUUACACUGGUGCCGUGAACCUUCGGAUCUUCAGAUCGGCUUGAUGCUCGUCGCCGCGGAUGCUGCGCUGCUGACCUGAUCUACGGUUGAUGAUUAUUGUGUGGUCGGAUCUCAAAACAGUGUGUUUGGAUGGCUCCUUCGUAUGUGGUCGUUGAGUUCCUUGGUGAACGUUCAGUCGCUGUUGUCCCAACCAUAUGGACAAAAGAUGAUGGAAAGAAUACCUUCUGCUAUUGGCCAAAGCCAAAUCCUACCCACUCCAGAAUCCGGAGAGCUGAGAUUCCUGACAAAGAAGUCUGGGAUAGGCUACCAAUUCGGGUUUUCAGGAAAACAUUGACUGAAGACUUUGACAAGGCCCUUCAAUAUGAAAAACAAGCUGAAAUGUUUUCGAGCCCAGAGGAAGAAGAAAUAUCAACCAAACGGAGCCACAUCACCCCUGAACGUUAUAGAAACGAUGAGGAAGAUGUGUUUGAUGCUGACGACGAAGAGGAAAUUCGGGCAAAAAAGAAGUGCAGAAAAGAGAAAUCACAGAUCCUCAUCCAGGCACCCCCACUGCCAGUGCUCCCACCAUUGAACUUUCCAAUCUCCAGCAAGUACCAGACCACUUCAGCCAGUACCAGCCAAUACUACACCACUCCAAGGCAUCCAGGCCGACCUCACAGCCCAGCGAGAAGCAGCACUUACAGGCUCAUUCCAGACAGGAAUCAUGCAUCUAGCUCAAGCCAGUACCAAACCACUCCAGCCAGUAUGAGUCAGUACCAGACCACUCCCAAGAAGCAGCAGGAAUGCCCUUGAAAGUGAACUUUUCCAGUUAAACAUGAAAGUUCAAAAACUAGUUGAGAACCAGGGAGAAAUUAUGCGCAUGCUGAGAGGGCUGGCAGCACAGUCUGUGGGGCCAGAAGCUGUGGAUGUUCAAGAUCUCAUUGAGAAGCCUUUCGAGACUCUUGAGCAGCUUAAGACCUUCAGUGAACAGCUCGACACUGAUCUUCUGCUCAGAAAGCAGCUGGUGAAAGCUCUUACUGCUCUUGGUGGGCAGAAUUUGGCAGACACAGUGAGGACAAUGCUGAGGAAAAUUGCCACAAACAAAGUCCUGGAGCAGCUUGGUCUCCGUGGAAAGACAGGCAAAGUGGCAUUUGAGGACUUGCCCUUUUACAGAAUAAUAAUAAAGGCAUGCAGGGGUGUUCACAAACAGACGACCACAGCUGAAGUAGAUUGUGAGCUUGGAGAGGUCCUGAAACUGGCCACUUUUUGAAAGGGAGGUUCAAAGUUUGAGGAGAAGAGGAGGAAUUAAGAGGAUGCGACGGCGAAGAAGGGCAAAGGGAGGUGUACAAAGGAAAUGGACAGUGAGAUGAGUGACCAGGUAAAUGAUAAAGUAAUUAUGCCAAUGUUUUAAAUCAAUUCAUGAAGAUCCCAGUUCUGUGUUGAAUUUGCAAUUAUAAACACUCGAUUGUAUUGUACAUAUGUCCCGGCAAGAAAUCUGCGUUCAAAGAACUCCGGCUUAUUAUUGAUACCCAGAGCCCAAAAAAAGUCUGCGGACUAUAGAGCGUUUUCUAUUGGGGCUCCAGUACUAUGGAAUGCCCUCCCGGUAACAAUUAGAGAUGCUACCUCAGUAGAAGCAUUUAAGUCCCAUCUUAAAACUCAUUUGUAUACUCUAGCCUUUAAAUAGACCCCCCUUUUAGACCAGUUGAUCUGCCGUUUCUUUUUUCUCCUCUGCUCCCCUCUUCCUUGCAUUCGGUC
This is a non-coding RNA of Nerophis lumbriciformis (worm pipefish), 1956 nucleotides long. Lineage: Eukaryota; Metazoa; Chordata; Actinopteri; Syngnathiformes; Syngnathidae. The record is from RefSeq and is a predicted model, not a curated record.